Molecule: long non-coding RNA, 273 nt
Organism: Balaenoptera ricei (Rice's whale)
Lineage: Eukaryota; Metazoa; Chordata; Mammalia; Artiodactyla; Balaenopteridae
Exons: 3
Source: RefSeq, a predicted model, not a curated record
CACCUCACUGAAUAUUUCUUGAAUGAAUGACUGUAUUAAUAAAUGUGUGAGGAAAUUUAAAGUUCAGCUUAAGAGACUGGAAACAAUGAGAAACAGCUAUAAAAUGAAUGCUGCCUGUUCAGCAGGAAGGCCAGCAGGCAGAGAGGCAGCAUGGCACCUUUCAAGAAGCACCAGCCUGGGAGACAGAGGACAAAGGACAAGGAAUAGAACGGCACCACUGGGAAUUCCCCCAGAAGCACAAGAACUAGAUAUGAAGGAUAAAACUGUCCACUG